RNAcentral lists this ribosomal RNA (913 nucleotides) under Phacidium lauri. Its description in RNAcentral is "LSU rRNA". It matches the Rfam family "Eukaryotic large subunit ribosomal RNA", at positions 38 to 966 of the family's 3401-position model. The record is from RNAcentral. Lineage: Eukaryota; Fungi; Ascomycota; Leotiomycetes; Phacidiales; Phacidiaceae.
GCAUAUCAAUAAGCGGAGGAAAAAGAAACCAACAGGGAUUGCCUCAGUAACGGCGAGUGAAGCGGCAACAGCUCAAAUUUGAAAUCUGGCCCUUUCAGGGUCCGAGUUGUAAUUUGUAGAGGAUGUUUCGGGUGUGGCUCCGGUCUAAGUUCCUUGGAACAGGACGUCAUAGAGGGUGAGAAUCCCGUAUGUGACUGGUAGCCUAUGCUCAUGUGAAACUCCUUCGACGAGUCGAGUUGUUUGGGAAUGCAGCUCAAAAUGGGUGGUAAAUUUCAUCUAAAGCUAAAUAUUGGCCAGAGACCGAUAGCGCACAAGUAGAGUGAUCGAAAGAUGAAAAGCACUUUGGAAAGAGAGUUAAACAGUACGUGAAAUUGUUGAAAGGGAAGCGCUUGCAACCAGACUUGCAUGUAGCUGAUCAACCGGUGUUCUCACCGGUGCACUCAGUUGCGUUCAGGCCAGCAUCGGUUUCGACGGUUGGAUAAAGGCCUUGGGAAUGUAGCUCCUCUCGGGGAGUGUUAUAGCCCAGGGUGCAAUGCAGCCUGUUGGGACCGAGGACCGCGCUUCGGCUAGGAUGCUGGCGUAAUGGUUGUAAGCGACCCGUCUUGAAACACGGACCAAGGAGUCUAACAUCUAUGCGAGUGUUUGGGUGUCAAACCCAUACGCGUAAUGAAAGUGAACGGAGGUGAGAACCCUUAAGGGUGCAUCAUCGACCGAUCCUGAUGUCUUCGGAUGGAUUUGAGUAAGAGCAUAGCUGUUGGGACCCGAAAGAUGGUGAACUAUGCCUGAAUAGGGUGAAGCCAGAGGAAACUCUGGUGGAGGCUCGCAGCGGUUCUGACGUGCAAAUCGAUCGUCAAAUUUGGGUAUAGGGGCGAAAGACUAAUCGAACCAUCUAGUAGCUGGGUUCCUGCCGAAG